Molecule: long non-coding RNA, 980 nt
Organism: Aphis gossypii (cotton aphid)
Lineage: Eukaryota; Metazoa; Arthropoda; Insecta; Hemiptera; Aphididae
Exons: 2
Source: RefSeq, a predicted model, not a curated record
UAUCGUCAAAUUUCAAAAAUAAUUUAUUUAAAAAAUAUUAUAUUUUAUAUGCUUAACGCCAACAGACUCUAAAUGAAAUCUGCAACCCAUCAAUUUCGCAUCUGGGAAUAUAUCUCUAAUUGCUUCGUAAGCUCAGAUUUCAAAGUUUAUUCUCUCUAUUGAGUAACUACUAGUUUUUUUAAAGUCAACUUCAUACACAUGUCCACAAGAAAAAGCCACAUGUAACCAAAUAGCCUAUUUCAAACUGUGUAGGUGGUGCUCGAAAAGGUUGGGAACCGCUGACUCUAGAACAUCGCAUAGGCUUUUAUUGAAUUUUAAUUUUUAAAUGAGUUUAAGAAUAAUAUUUAAACUUUAAAAUGCUUGUAUUUCACUUCAAAAUUAAAACAUCAAUAAAUGCCUAUGCGAUUGUCUAGAUAAUAUUUUUAGACUUAUCUCGGAUCACACUAUGCGUUUUUUCGGUUCCGGCGGUUUUAUACGGUUAGGUUAUUUUAUUGUUAUUUUUUUGCUGGUUUGUUCUCCAUCCUGUAUAGCUUCCGAUCGUCCGAACUAAAAAAAUAUUACGAUGAAGUGAAGUCUACGGCCAAGAUGAAGUAGCCACGGGUACCCUUUUAAGUCUCUGGUGCGCGAGAACCCCAGCGGGCUGGAUUAAUACGUUUCUAACCGAUUUCUUUUGCAAAUAAAGCUUCUGAGUCGAGUGCCGAAAGACCUGUAGAUACCGCCAGAACCUUGGUCCGGAACUCGCCGGAAGUGGAAGUGCAACAGCAAUAGACCGCGGUGCAUAUCGCGCUACAGCUGUGGCAUUUAGACACGAGCAAACUCUUCCGUGCCGUUCGCCGUCAAUCGCAUCGCUCUGGCAGCAGAAGCUGUCAAGUCUCGUCUACCGUCUUAUGGGGUCAUCGAAUUUCGCUCUGAACCAAAAGUCUGCCCUUGGAACCGGCUGCGAGAACGUUGCAGAGAUGACCAGUGACCUAUAACGACUA